AUAGGUUAAGUUAAUAAGGGCGCAUGGUGGAUGCCUUGGCACUAGAAGGCGAUGAAGGACGUGACUAACUACGAUAUGCCUCGGUUAGCUGUAAGUAAGCUUACCCGGGGGUUUCCGAAUGGGGCAACCCGAUCUUAAUGAUCAUCAUCUUUUUGAAUUCAUAGAUUAGAUGAAGCAAACGCUGUGAACUGAAACAUCUCAGUAGCAGUAGGAAAGUAAAGAAAUUUCGAUUCCGUCAGUAGCGGCGAGCGAACGCGGAAGAGCCCAAACCUGGAUGCUUGCAUCCAGGGGUUGUAGGACUGAUGUUGAGUUACAAAGGUAUAAGAUAGCAGAAACAGUUGGGAAGCUGUUCCAAAGAGGGUGACAGGCCCGUAUGCGAAAUCUUGUACUCUCUAAUCAGGAUCCUGAGU
Molecule: ribosomal RNA, 410 nt
Filed under: Oenococcus oeni
Lineage: Bacteria; Bacillati; Bacillota; Bacilli; Lactobacillales; Lactobacillaceae
Description: bacterial LSU rRNA
Rfam family: Bacterial large subunit ribosomal RNA
Source: RNAcentral